Molecule: non-coding RNA, 2984 nt
Organism: Kogia breviceps (pygmy sperm whale)
Lineage: Eukaryota; Metazoa; Chordata; Mammalia; Artiodactyla; Physeteridae
Source: RefSeq, a predicted model, not a curated record
CCCUAUUGUACAUGAGCAUUCCCAGCCUGUGGUUUUAGUUGUCUGUGAGCAGUCACACACUGACUGGGUUGGCAAAGAACAUUCCUAUAGCAUCCUCCAGCCCCAGAGAGCUGUAGCUGAAGGACUCCUUCCCAGCUGUAGAAAGGCAAUUAUUUCUAAACCAGCCCACUCACGUUAAACUCUUGUAAGAACAUAACGAAUGACAGAGGAGUUUGAAUCAUCUAUAGUACAUCUGUGGAACUUGAGGAAACUUUGCCACGAGAUAGAUCAGACAAAGCCAACCAGCAUCCCUGAUGAAAAGUGAUUUCUGCUUUAAUUGAAAUGAGCGUUAUGAACAGCUGCCAGAAACUUCUCAUGGUAGAGAAACUGCCAGCAGCCAGAUGAAGACACCUGUCCCGAUCUGCAUGUGGAGCCAUGAGCAGUCAUUUCUUAACUUGGCAGUGCUCCUUGCAGUAACAUUUCCAACACCACCUAGAGGACCAGGAAAUUCAGUCAGGCUGGCAGCACCAGAGGUGGGCCUGAUCAGAUCUUUCUCGGCAAGUUCUUAUUCAAGAAAUAAGAGAAAAUAGAGGAGGCUGGGCAUUAAUCCCGAGAUGGUAGAGAGAAUUUUUUUGGAGGUUAACUGCUGAUUUGCAGAUAUGCAACUUUUCAAGCUUUGGUCUAUGUGGGUUUGGAAGAAAACUGAAAAACGAUACUGAGGAUAGUUUCAUUCCUUUCCUACUGGUGUAAAUAGACUCCCAAGAAUAUCAACUGAGAGGAAAAGAAAUACGGAGGGACAACCUGAAGCAUGUCUCGUGUCACAUUAUAGCUCUGGCCAAAGGAAAGUGGCUGCAAAAAUGGUUCUGUUGUUUGCAAUGUGACUCAGAUGUCACAAACUAAAGUUUGGAAAGUUAUUUGUUCAAAACACCAACAACUGGACAGUAGGCUGAGAGCCAUAAAUGCAGAUACCUGCAGAACAAAUUUGCUUUUUGAAUCAGAAGUCGGCGUCCAAGUACCCUGGGCCUGCUGAAGCAUCUCUAAUAUUUACACAGAUGAGUCAGAGCUCCCACUUCUACCAGCAUAAACAGAGAUGUGGGAGGAACAGUGUGGCAGGACCCAAUGAGCACUUGGUCAGUAAAUCAGGAUCUCUGGCUUCUACAUCCAGAGUGUGUGACCAGGGGAAGUCCCAUCAACUCCUUGAGUCUCAGAGAAAUACUUGACUUUGCUAUGAUACUGCAACUGGCAAUAAGGAAAUGUGAAUUUCAACUGAAAGAGCCCCUGGGAGACUACAAGAAAGGAAAUAAGAAAAUCAAGGUACAUGUCCUCCUGAAGAUUACAUAGUCUAUCAAUCAAAAUGCAAUUCAAGAAACAGAAAGAACUCUAGGUAUUUCCUGCAGAAAGUGAUUUUGUGGAGAGAAUAGGGUGUUCACAAAAUUGUUAGAAAUGUUGGAGGAGAAGGAGUUCAGGAAUAGCUAUUGAACUGUGAUAGCAAAGACACACAGCCCUGGCUGCUAUCCAGAGCCACCAUCAACUCUCAUCACCCAUGAAGCACACAGCAAUCGUAGCUGCUAGAACUGCCUUCCAAGAUUCGUGUCUCUUUAAUUUUGCUUCUAGAAUUGUAACUGAAAAAUAUAGCCCCCAUCUCACUAUCAUGUUCCAAAUUUCAGGCAAGCAUAUAUAACUAGUAGAAUCUAAUUCCCACCCAGAACCAUAAUUACAAGAGAAAUAUAGAAAGGCAGAUUUUCCUUCUCCAGACCUGGAAACACAAGAAGACACCUAGAAGAAGAAUGGAUCUGAAUGCCAGCCUACCACCCAGCAGUCAUAGCUUGGACCUGGUAGAGCUGAACUACCUACUGUAUCUCCACAAAUGGAAUUCCCAGACUCCAGAGAAUGCAGAACUAAACUAAUACAACUGUUAUUACAUGAUAUUUCAAAGGAUUUCUCCUCCAAGAGUAUUGUCAUUUAUUAAUAAAAUAUAGACUAUUCUAUAAAAUUCUAGGAUAUAACUGUUUCAGAGAAAGCUCUCAGGAGAUAUUAUAUCACACACUGUGGAAAUCUAGUUUCUGUGCCAUAAAACUCAAUGCAAAGACAAAGGAAUCACUAAGUGCUGUGAGAAUAUGGACCACAUCUAGGGUUAGGCAUCCCAACCUGAAAUUUUAACACAAUGCUAAGCACUUAUCUAAUUUAAUUCUUACAAAAAAUCCUAUAAAGUAUGUGCUACUAUCCUCAUUUUGUCUAUCAGGAAAGUGAAACUCAGAGAAACAAAGUAAUUUACAUAAACUUACACAGUUAAUAAGGGAAAGAGUUGGGAAUUAAGCCUAAUUUUGUCUGAUGCCACACACAGCAUUUUACAAUUUUUUCUCGUUCCUAAAGAACUUUGUCUUCUGUCAGUUUACUACUGACCCAAAAGGCACGGAGCAAUUAAAAUACCUGUAAUAAGUGUUACAUCAAAGAUGUUCUAAGAAUUUAACCAGAGCUGACAUCAUUAAAGCACUCCUAGUUUCAAGCUGGUUUCCUAGGGAGACUCCAUCCCAGUUUUCACUCUCCUCCCACUCCAGCCAAAGUUCUUCCAUUUUUAAUGAGAUGGGAUUCUCCUCUUUUAUUUGUUCUUUUUCAUAAGUUAAUAAUUUGAUAUUGGUUUCAACAUUUAAAUGAGAAGAUUGUGAAAUCCACCCACAUGCUUCACUUUUAAUUCUAUUGUGAGGAAUUGUAGAAUUGGAAAAUGAAAGAAAUAAUGUUGACAAAUGUAUGCAUAAGGGCCCCAAGCAGUCAGUCUGUCCCCUUCUGGGCACAGUGGCAGGUUAGUGGGGGUGUUAGGAGAAUAGGUAAAAUUGAAUUCAAAAGAAUUUCUUUUCACAUUAUAGAAUUCCAUCUCCAAUGCCAAGCCAACUAAGCUACCCACGCUAUUUAAUAUUUUCCAUCUGUUCAACUCUACAACUUUGAAAACAGUGACAACUGAUAUAUAAGAAAGUAUUUAAUAUAUUAAUAUGAGUUACCAAUAAUCU